GUACACGCUGUGACUAGCAUAUCAAUAAGCGGAGGAAAAGAAACUAACAAGGAUUCCCCUAGUAACGGCGAGUGAAGCGGGAAGAGCUCAAAUUUGAAAUCUUAAAGGGUUUCCCUUUACGAAUUGUAGCUUAAAGAAGUGUUUUCUGUUGAGGUUUUGGUAAAAGUUCUUUGGAAUAGGACAUCAUAGAGGGUGAGAAUCCCGUAUUUGACCUUUACUUUCAACUUUGUGAUACACUUUCAAAGAGUCGGAUUGUUUGGGAAUGCAGUCCAAAAUGGGUGGUAAAUUUCAUCUAAAGCUAAAUAUUGGCGAGAGACCGAUAGCGAACAAGUACCGUGAGGGAAAGAUGAAAGGAACUUUGAAAAGAGAGUUAAACAGUACGUGAAAUUGUCAAAAGGGAAGCGUUUGACACCAGUGUUGUUUUUCUGAAAAUCAAUUAAAGAACUGUUUAUGCUAAGUUGUUUAGACUUUAUCAGCUAACUGUUUAGUUUUGAGCUUUUCUUUAAUGCACUUUUCAGUUAACAAGUCAACAUCAAUUUCUUUUGCUGUAGAAAAGCUUGAGGAAGGUGGCUUGAGAUUCGUCUUAAGUGUUUAUAGCCUCUUGCCUAUGCAGUCGGAGAGAUUGAGGUCUGCAGCGUAGAUCCUUCGGGGCUAAAUGCAUUUGUGCUAAGUUAUAACAUUUUAUAGACAACUUGUUGACUAUGAUUUGUCUUGUAGCUUACUCGCUUAUGUUAUUUUACCUACGCUUAGGAUGUUGACGCGCGUGUGUGCGUG
RNAcentral lists this ribosomal RNA (774 nucleotides) under uncultured Neocallimastigales. Its description in RNAcentral is "partial large subunit ribosomal RNA". It matches the Rfam family "Eukaryotic large subunit ribosomal RNA", at positions 22 to 639 of the family's 3401-position model. The record is from RNAcentral. Lineage: Eukaryota; Fungi; Neocallimastigomycota; Neocallimastigomycetes; Neocallimastigales.